Molecule: ribosomal RNA, 465 nt
Filed under: Vreelandella stevensii
Lineage: Bacteria; Pseudomonadati; Pseudomonadota; Gammaproteobacteria; Oceanospirillales; Halomonadaceae
Description: partial 16S ribosomal RNA
Rfam family: Bacterial small subunit ribosomal RNA
Source: RNAcentral
CCUACGGGGGGCUGCAGUGGGGAAUAUUGGACAAUGGGGGGAACCCUGAUCCAGCCAUGCCGCGUGUGUGAAGAAGGCCCUCGGGUUGUAAAGCACUUUCAGUGAGGAAGAACGCCUGGUGGUUAAUACCCAUCAGGAAAGACAUCACUCACAGAAGAAGCACCGGCUAACUCCGUGCCAGCAGCCGCGGUAAUACGGAGGGUGCAAGCGUUAAUCGGAAUUACUGGGCGUAAAGCGCGCGUAGGUGGCUUGAUAAGCCGGUUGUGAAAGCCCCGGGCUCAACCUGGGAACGGCAUCCGGAACUGUCAAGCUAGAGUGCAGGAGAGGGAGGUAGAAUUCCCGGUGUAGCGGUGAAAUGCGUAGAGAUCGGGAGGAAUACCGGUGGCGAAGGCGGCCUCCUGGACUGACACUGACACUGAGGUGCGAAAGCGUGGGUAGCAAACAGGAUUAGAUACCCGUGUAGUC